GGGGGAAUAUUGGGCAAUGGGCGCAAGCCUGACCCAGCAACGCCGCGUGAAGGAAGAAGGCUUUCGGGUUGUAAACUUCUUUUCUUGGGGACGAAGAAGUGACGGUACCCAAGGAAUAAGCCACGGCUAACUACGUGCCAGCAGCCGCGGUAAUACGUAGGUGGCAAGCGUUAUCCGGAUUUAUUGGGUGUAAAGGGCGUGUAGGCGGGAAUGCAAGUCAGAUGUGAAACUAUGGGCUCAACCCAUAGCCUGCAUUUGAAACUGUAUUUCUUGAGUGCUGGAGAGGCAAUCGGAAUUCCGUGUGUAGCGGUGAAAUGCGUAGAUAUACGGAGGAACACCAGUGGCGAAGGCGGAUUGCUGGACAGUAACUGACGCUGAGGCGCGAAAGCGUGGGGAGCAAACAGGAUUAGAUACCC
Molecule: ribosomal RNA, 416 nt
Filed under: uncultured bacterium
Lineage: Bacteria
Description: bacterial SSU rRNA
Rfam family: Bacterial small subunit ribosomal RNA
Source: RNAcentral